RNAcentral lists this long non-coding RNA (4194 nucleotides) under Amborella trichopoda. RNAcentral's name for it is "long non-coding RNA (ATRI_LNC002604)". The record is from RNAcentral. Lineage: Eukaryota; Viridiplantae; Streptophyta; Magnoliopsida; Amborellales; Amborellaceae.
GCAAAUAUUAAUAUCAUAAAUAAAAUUACACAUACGAGAGUAAUUUUUUGAACUUCUGAUUUCUCAGGGACAAUAGCAACAGGUUUGCGAUUCUUUUUUUCAAAUAGAAAUUCAUCUACUCGAUCCGCAACACAAGCAUCUUGUCACACCUCAAGAAUUUACAAUACUGUUAUUCUUGAGAUGUGACAGACAAAACAUAUAUACAUCUAUUGAUAGGACAAAUUUACAGUGGCGAGGUCUUACAAAGUAAAUAAAGAAAGCUAGCACAACAACAGUAUCUUCCAAGGUUGAUCUUGACUAGCACUCAAAAUGAAUCCGUUGUUAUCCUGAAAAAAUGUUUACCAUAGUUUGAUGAGUUUGGCUACUCAGUAAGUAAUCAUCAUAAUCCUAAAAAAAUAAUCAUGGUUGAAAGAUAUCAAUAUUUUCAAAAAGAAGAUCUAUUAACAGAAAUGCAUCAACAAUUUCACUUUCAAUAAAUGCAUAAUUAAGUAUAAUCCGAAUAAUUGAAAUGCACAUAACACUUUAACGCGUCAAUGCAUAAUUCAAAGGAUUUCACAAAAUACCCUACUGACGUCCCAAGUAGGUCACCUAUAUACCCCAUCAGCGUCCUGAUAGGUCCACUUAAUCCCUAUCGGCAUCCCAGAUAGGUCCACUUAAUCCCUGCAGGUCCACUUAUACCUCACCGGUGUACCGGAUGAGUCCACUUAAUCCCUACCGGCGUCCCGGAUAGGUCCACUUAUACCUCACCGGCGAACCGGAUGAGUCCACUUGCAUACUUAAAUUAUUUCAAAAUCUCUUUAAACAUUCGAAAGCAGCAAAUAUCAUGUACUCAACAUAUCACUGAAAUCACUAAUAUGAAUUUCACUAAAACCAUUAAUAACAGUCACUUUCAAUAACAUUUCAACCAAUCAAAUAUUUUGGGCUCAAAUUUAGAAAGGUAGCAAUUCGUAAGGACAUUCUAGCAUAAUUGCCAAUAUAAUAUGUAUAGGAAAACUCUUAUAGAAAUUCAAGAAUACGGAAUUAUCACAAUUUAUGGGAUGUUAAUUUGCAAAUAAACAUUUCACAAUAAUGCUAUAAUCAAAUGCAAAAAUAUCAAUUUUCAGAUAAUAAGGCAGUCAUUCGCAUAUGAAAUUUACAAUGUCUAAAUAUUUAAAAACAAUAGAAAGAAAUCUCACAAUUUUACUAAAAGCAGAAAUAUCACAUUUAUUUCUAAUAAUUUGAUAGUAUCUAAAAUUUUCAAACAAUAGACAAGAAAAAUAAAUAAAUUUAUUUUUCUAAAAAUUUCUACCAUAGAUAAAAUAUCACAAGUUUUAUAAAAAUAUUAUUUUUCAAGAUAAUGAGGUCGUGUGCGCAUAAAAUUUAUCGCACCUAAAAUUCAUGAUAAUAAGCAGGAAUAAUUGUUUCAUUUUAUUUUUAAAAAGAAUAGAUUAUUUUUCGAGACAAUGAGGUCACUUACACACAAAACUGAUAAAAUAAAAAUCCUAAACGAAAAUAUCACUAUUUAUUAAAAAUAGACUAUUUUUCAGAAAGACGAUGUCACUUACCUAAAAUAUUUGAAAGAGAACUUCUACAAAAUUCGGCUAGAGAGCGAAGAGCGGUGAAAGCACCAUGGGUAAAGUCCUUAGAGGAAGUAAAGCCGAAAGGCUUUUCAGUGACACUCUUUAGACCAAAGGACAACUUCUUUUAUAAAACAUACAUGGCUUAACACGCAUGAUGCAAAACGUUACACAUCAUUUAAGUGUGUCAAUAGAGGGUUAACUGCAAUAUAUGGCACUGCCACCACACAAUAUUACAAUUAAGCAGCAUCUUAUGGAGGCACGUCAGCUUUACUUAAGCUGGCAAGAAGAAAAGUUUUGGACGCUUGCAAACAAUUAUGAUAAAAGAGCUGAUGGACCAAAGGUCUACCUUAAAGGAAUGGACUAGCAAAAAAAAAANNNNNNNNNNNNNNNNNNNNCUUUGAAUUAUUAAUCAAAUAUCCAAGAAGCCUGGGUCCAUAUUUAAAUAGAGGAGUUUUUUUUUUUUUUGCGUAAGAGAAAGAUGGUCCCCGUUGUGCAUUUUGCCACCAUGAAUUAUCGUUCUAAAUAUUUCAUUAUGUAUUUUACUUUAUUUUAUUUUAUUUAUUUAUUUUUAUUGUAUUUAUUCUAUUAAAACUAUUAUUAUUAUUAUUAUUAAUUUUUUUAUUUUAUUUAUUUUUAUUUAUUUUUUAAAAAAAUUUCAGGAUUAUUACACAUCUGGCCUCUGAGACACGAACCUUUUAACCACAGGCUUCCUAUCUUCACCUAGAAUUUUAUCACAUCACUCUAGAUAGCCGCAUCCAGUCUCAUUCUAAUGGUUGUCAUGAUAAGAUAAAUGUGUGUUAGAUAUAUGCUUACAAAUUAACACCAAAAUGCUUCUACAUUAUGUUAAUGAAUGAAUAAUACAUACCUUCCAAUUAGAGCAUUUAUAAAAAUGUCUAUUGUAGUUACCGUGUGUCUUUGAUAUAAACACACACAUCCGACUAUAUCAUGGUUUACGUUUACAAAUCCUUGGAGGGAAUUGGUCAUUGAGAUCCGUUCUAUAAAGAAGUCACAACGAAUAUAUUAAAAACUUCAUCACUCUAUCGCAUCCAUGAAUUGCAUCAGCCAUUAAAGUGAAAAGAGUUAUUUUGAAACUCAAAAGUUUGGAACAAAUACAUAGAGAGAGAGUACCUAUACACAGAGAGAAUACCUACAACAGAUUUAUGAUAUAAACUCAUUUUAGCUGGUCAAAUGCAUAGCGAGAGAGAAUACCUAUAAAUGAGUUUACACUGAAAUAGAAAAUACAAUUUAUUUCAAUUUUAAUAAUACCAUUCAUAUUUUAUCUCAACCUAUAGAAACAUAUGCAAAAAUUGCAACAUAUGGAUAUCACAGAUCUGUGAUACAAACUCAAUACAGCAGAAGCAAACAACCCCAAGGUUUUUGAAGCAUAUCAACAUAUGGAUAUUAUAGAUUUGGAUAUUUACUUCUUUGAAGCAUAUCAAUUUUUUGCUGAUUGUGUUAAUAUGUGCAAGGCUUUUGCAAAAAAAAUAUUAUGAUUAUGUUUUGAAGAUUUUUUGUUUUGCAGUUCAACAAUUGUAGCUACAUUCCACUGAUAUUGACAAAUAUGUAGGCAACGUUUGAUCCAUUUAUCCUUUUUCUUACAUUCAUAUGAAGUGUUGUUGCUUAAUUCUUUGAUGCUCUACUGUUGUUUUUUAAGUAAUGGGCUAUUUUCUUAGUGGAACGUGUUAAUUUUACAGGAACCUAAAAUCAGAAGCAAUGCUUGGUGCAUUAGUCCUAAAAGAAGAGUUCUGGUUGUGUAAGGUUUUUAAUUGAUAAAUAAGUUUAAUUGAAUUUGAUUAACGAAACAUUCUAAAUGAAUUUUGUUGUUUUCCAAAACAGAUGAUCCAAACAAAGCCUUGACCAGGAAUGUCACUGUAGAAACUUCGUACUAACUUUUGUGCUAUAUAAACUCAUAUGCAAACAAAAACAUUACAGAAGAACCAAACAAGAAGAAUGGUUCCUAUAGUAGCAUAAAAUCCCACAACCCAAAGCAUUUGAUUAAUGAAACACCCUAAGGGAACUUUAUUUUCCAAAACAGAUGAUCCAAACAAGGGCUUGACCAGGAAUGUCAUUGUAGAAACUUCAUACUAAGCUUUGUGCUAUAUAAAACUCAUAUGCAAACAAAGAAAUUACAGAACCAAACAGGAAGAAUAGCUCCUGUAGUAGUAUAAAAUCCCACAGCCCAAAGCCUAUAUACACCAAAAUUCACCAACAUAUCCACUAUACUACUUCAAGCAUUGAAAUUCACCAACAUAUCCACCAUUCUACUUCAGGCACCAAAAUUCACUAACAUAUCCACCAUACUACUUCAAAUACAUAGAAAGAGAGAGAGAGUACCUACCCGAGAUGGUGCUCGAGCGGCAAAGAGAGCCAGUGAGCGGCUUGUGGGUUCAAGCAGGGGAAUGGCCUUUGGACAGUGGAGGUGGGGGGCCAAUGGGGUUUUCUAAACGAUUAGGGGAAAGAGAGAGACAGGGAGUAAGAGGCAGAGAGAGUGCACGAGCAGUCUAUGGGUUUGAGUAGGGAAUGGCUUGGCACAGGGAUGACGAAGAAAACCACGGAGGAGAGAGAAAGAAAAUGCCCUGAGCUUAGAAGAGAGAGAGAAUAGCAUUUUUUUAUCCCUGUGUCAGCCGAUCAUUAC